Molecule: ribosomal RNA, 399 nt
Filed under: uncultured bacterium
Lineage: Bacteria
Description: bacterial SSU rRNA
Rfam family: Bacterial small subunit ribosomal RNA
Source: RNAcentral
GGGGAAUAUUGCACAAUGGGCGAAAGCCUGAUGCAGCAACGCCGCGUGAGCGAUGAAGGCCUUCGGGUCGUAAAGCUCUGUCCUCAAGGAAGAUAAUGACGGUACUUGAGGAGGAAGCCCCGGCUAACUACGUGCCAGCAGCCGCGGUAAUACGUAGGGGGCGAGCGUUGUCCGGAUUUAUUGGGCGUAAAGGGUUCGCAGGCGGCCAAAUAAGUCAGAUGUGAAAGCCCACGGCUUAACCGUGGUAAGCAUUUGAAACUGUAUGGCUUGAGUUAAGGAGAGGAAAGUGGAAUUCCUAGUGUAGCGGUGAAAUGCGUAGAUAUUAGGAAGAAUACCAGUGGCGAAGGCGACUUUCUGGACUUAUACUGACGCUGAGGAACGAAAGCGUGGGGAGCAAAC